GAGGUAGUAAGUGAUAUAUAAAAAUGGAGACUUGAAUCCAGGACUUCAAUCCCCAGAAGUCCUUGCUCCACUUCCCCAGAAUGCUUUGUAAUCUCACUGAAUUCUCACCUGGGACGAGAGCAGAUCAUUAUUUAAAGGGUCUCUGCCCACAGCGGGGUCUCUUCUCUUCCUGUCUCCUCUGGCAAGCAGAACCGUCUCAUGAUAUUUUCUAGAUAGAAUUCUAAAACACCGAUGGCAAGAGACUAGAGGAGACAGCAAGUGAGAUUGUAAAUAGGUA
This 277-nucleotide long non-coding RNA is filed under the name Monodelphis domestica (gray short-tailed opossum). RNAcentral describes it as "lncRNA (ENSMODG00000035988.2)". The record is from RNAcentral. Lineage: Eukaryota; Metazoa; Chordata; Mammalia; Didelphimorphia; Didelphidae.